This is a long non-coding RNA of Neopelma chrysocephalum (saffron-crested tyrant-manakin), 601 nucleotides long. RefSeq lists it as uncharacterized. The record is from RefSeq and is a predicted model, not a curated record. The transcript is spliced from 4 exons. NCBI's taxonomy places the organism in Eukaryota, Metazoa, Chordata, Aves, Passeriformes, Pipridae.
UACGGACUUAACUUCUACAUUGGGCGUUGGGGAAGACUAGAGGCAACUGGGACUUCUCCAGAUCCUUGCUGCAUGGUGUGCUCUGGUGUCUCUCAAAAGCCAAGCAGAACAACUGUAUGUGUACUUCUCAGAGUGUACAUGAUGGCUCAGUUGUGUUGGGUGGGAAUUCCUGACCCGUUCAACUGGAAUUCAGGAUUCUCAGUUCCCUUCACAUGUGUCUGUGGUCCUGUCUGUUCCCUCCUUGAUGUCUUUGCCCUCUGUACCUGGCUUCAGCCAUAACGUUUCUGUUAUAAGCAAAAAUCAGAGGUCUUUCUCUGGUGAGAGAGUCCUCUGUGGAUAUGAGGGAAGGAGCCUGGGCAGGGAGGUUGCCAAGAAGGGCAUGAGGAGAUGAACUGGAUUCCGUUUCACCCUUGGGUGCCAUUCAGAACAUCAGUGACUUACUGGAGUUAGGUGAUCAGUUUCUGCCUGUUUAUGAGGAAGCUGUGCCCUGUACCUUUCUCUUCCUGAUGGAAAAGAGCUGCUGGGAGGCUUUUUAAGGCUUGGGAGUUGUUCGUGUGUGGUGGGUGACGGAACUGGGCAGAGCACAGGUCUGAACCCCAGU